Molecule: ribosomal RNA, 660 nt
Filed under: uncultured marine bacterium
Lineage: Bacteria
Description: bacterial SSU rRNA
Rfam family: Bacterial small subunit ribosomal RNA
Source: RNAcentral
UUGGGAGACUUGAUCUCUUAGUGGCGCAGUUAACGCGAUAAGUAGACCGCCUGGGGAGUACGGCCGCAAGGUUAAAACUCAAAUGAAUUGACGGGGGCCCGCACAAGCGGUGGAGCAUGUGGUUUAAUUCGACGCAACGCGAAGAACCUUACCAGGUCUUGACAUCCUAGAAACUUAGCAGAGAUGCUUUGGUGCCUUCGGGAAUCUAGUGACAGGUGCUGCAUGGCUGUCGUCAGCUCGUGUCGUGAGAUGUUGGGUUAAGUCCCGUAACGAGCGCAACCCUUGUCCUUAGUUGCCAGCACGUAAUGGUGGGAACUCUAAGGAGACUGCCGGUGACAAACCGGAGGAAGGUGGGGACGACGUCAAGUCAUCAUGGCCCUUACGACCUGGGCUACACACGUGCUACAAUGGCCAGUACAGAGGGCUGCAAGCCCGCGAGGGGGAGCUAAUCUCACAAAGCUGGUCGUAGUCCGGAUCGCAGUCUGCAACUCGACUGCGUGAAGUUGGAAUCGCUAGUAAUCGUGAAUCAGAAUGUCACGGUGAAUACGUUCCCGGGCCUUGUACACACCGCCCGUCACACCAUGGGAGUAGGUUGCAAAAGAAGUAGCUAGGCUAACCUUCGGGAGGCCGGUUACCACUUUGUGAUUUAUGACUGGGGUG